RNAcentral lists this ribosomal RNA (465 nucleotides) under Vreelandella stevensii. RNAcentral describes it as "partial 16S ribosomal RNA". It matches the Rfam family "Bacterial small subunit ribosomal RNA", at positions 338 to 795 of the family's 1533-position model. The record is from RNAcentral. Lineage: Bacteria; Pseudomonadati; Pseudomonadota; Gammaproteobacteria; Oceanospirillales; Halomonadaceae.
CCUACGGGGGGCAGCAGUGGGGAAUAUUGGACAAUGGGGGGAACCCUGAUCCAGCCAUGCCGCGUGUGUGAAGAAGGCCCUCGGGUUGUAAAGCACUUUCAGUGAGGAAGAACGCCUGGUGGUUAAUACCCAUCAGGAAAGACAUCACUCACAGAAGAAGCACCGGCUAACUCCGUGCCAGCAGCCGCGGUAAUACGGAGGGUGCGAGCGUUAAUCGGAAUUACUGGGCGUAAAGCGCGCGUAGGUGGCUUGAUAAGCCGGUUGUGAAAGCCCCGGGCUCAACCUGGGAACAGCAUCCGGAACUGUCAAGCUAGAGUGCAGGAGAGGAAGGUAGAAUUCCCGGUGUAGCGGUGAAAUGCGUAGAGAUCGGGAGGAAUACCAGUGGCGAAGGCGGCCUUCUGGACUGACACUGACACUGAGGUGCGAAAGCGUGGGUAGCAAACAGGAUUAGAUACCCUUGUAGUC